GCCGGGAUGGCGGAACAGGUAGACGCAGCGGACUUAAAAUCCGCCGGGAUAAUAUCCCGUGCCGGUUCGAUUCCGGCUCUCGGCA
RNAcentral lists this transfer RNA (85 nucleotides) under Candidatus Peribacteria bacterium. RNAcentral describes it as "tRNA-Leu". It matches the Rfam family "tRNA". Rfam says of the family: Transfer RNA (tRNA) molecules are approximately 80 nucleotides in length. Their secondary structure includes four short double-helical elements and three loops (D, anti-codon, and T loops). Lineage: Bacteria; Candidatus Peregrinibacteriota; Candidatus Peribacteria. The record is from RNAcentral.